UUGGAUUUAAAUUGGAUUCUAUGUGUUGCUUGCAGUGUGUUCCAUCGUGCAACUUAACAUGUGGAGUGUUAGAUCUACCACGUCAAUUAAUGAGGCGUGAUCCAACACUCCAUGUUUUUUUUUUAUUUUAAAUCUUUUUCUUUUAUUAUUUUUAAUUUCUUUUUCUUUUAAAAUUCAUAGUAAUUUCAUUUUUUAUCCAAAAUUAUUUCUAAAAUUCUCUUUUAUUUUUCAUCAUCUUAUUUUUAUUUUUUCAC
Molecule: long non-coding RNA, 254 nt
Filed under: Lathyrus oleraceus (garden pea)
Lineage: Eukaryota; Viridiplantae; Streptophyta; Magnoliopsida; Fabales; Fabaceae
Description: Pisum sativum (pea) long non-coding RNA (PSAT_LNC014095)
Source: RNAcentral